AUACUUGCGUGUGUGUUUGGUCCCAACAGCUGGUGACCUCCAUUGCACUUUGGAGGGGUGCCCGCCUAAAGUCGGCCCAAGAGGUCGAGCUUACAUCAUAAUUUGUGAUAGUGGGGGACUGCGUUCGCGGCCCCUA
Small nuclear RNA from Nicotiana attenuata, 136 nucleotides. It matches the Rfam family "U1 spliceosomal RNA". Rfam says of the family: U1 is a small nuclear RNA (snRNA) component of the spliceosome (involved in pre-mRNA splicing). Its 5' end forms complementary base pairs with the 5' splice junction, thus defining the 5' donor site of an intron. Lineage: Eukaryota; Viridiplantae; Streptophyta; Magnoliopsida; Solanales; Solanaceae. The record is from Rfam.